AUACGGAGGAUGCGAGCGUUAUCCGGAUUUAUUGGGCUUAAAGGGUGCGUAGGCUGUGCGUUAAGUCAGGGGUGAAAUGCCGUCGCUCAACGACGGAGCUGCCCUUGAUACUGGCGUGCUGGAGUACGGAAGCCGUUGGUGGAAUGAGUGGUGUAGCGGUGAAAUGCUUAGAUAUCACUCAGAACACCGAUGGCGAAGGCAUCUGACGAAUCCGUCACUGACGCUGAGGCACGAAAGCGUGGGGAUAGAACAGGAUUAGAUACCCUGGUAUUCCCCGCCGUAAACGAUGAUGACUAACCGUCGGCGAUAGACAGCCGGUGGCCAAGCGAAAGCGAUAAGUCAUCCACCUGGGGAGUACGUCGGCAACGAUGAAACUCAAAUGAAUUGGCGGGG
Molecule: ribosomal RNA, 393 nt
Filed under: uncultured bacterium
Lineage: Bacteria
Description: partial 16S ribosomal RNA
Rfam family: Bacterial small subunit ribosomal RNA
Source: RNAcentral